UAUAUUUUGUCAAAUGAUGUCUUCUUUAAUGAGAGGAAAGGAGGGAGUGAGGGAGUUAACUAGUACCUUAUAAAAAUAAACAAUAAAUAUUCCUUUAAAAGAAGUCACUGAACAACUACAAUUCCAAAUGAACAAUGAUGAAGCAUUCUACUCAUGCCAUUAUGGAGAUGUCUUGGAUUCAAGGCUUGAGUGGGCCAUUCAUCUGAAAUCCGUCCAGCCUGCGUCACUUGCUUCUCUGUUUUUCCAAAGGGACCAAGAUGUCUUCUUCAAAGAAAAAACCAAUCUGGAUAAAGCUUUGAGCUUAAAGUUUACCCAAUUAAA
Molecule: long non-coding RNA, 321 nt
Organism: Monodelphis domestica (gray short-tailed opossum)
Lineage: Eukaryota; Metazoa; Chordata; Mammalia; Didelphimorphia; Didelphidae
Source: RefSeq, a predicted model, not a curated record